RNAcentral lists this ribosomal RNA (467 nucleotides) under uncultured bacterium. RNAcentral's name for it is "partial 16S ribosomal RNA". It matches the Rfam family "Bacterial small subunit ribosomal RNA", at positions 28 to 507 of the family's 1533-position model. The record is from RNAcentral.
GACGAACGCUGGCGGCGUGCUUAACACAUGCAAGUCGAACGGAAAGGCCCUGCUUUUGUGGGGUGCUCGAGUGGCGAACGGGUGAGUAACACGUGAGUAACCUGCCCUUGACUUUGGGAUAACUUCAGGAAACUGGGGCUAAUACCGGAUAGGAGCUCCGCUUCAUGGUGGGGGUUGGAAAGUUUCGGCGGUUGGGGUUGGACUCGCGGCUUAUCAGCUUGGUGGUGGGGUAGUGGCGUACCAAGGCUUUGACGGGUAGCCGGCCUGAGAGGGUGACCGGCCACAUUGGGACUGAGAUACGGCCCAGACUCCUACGGGAGGCAGCAGUGGGGAAUAUUGCACAAUGGGCGGAAGCCUGAUGCAGCAACGCCGCGUGCGGGAUGACGGCCUUCGGGUUGUAAACCGCUUUCGCCUGUGACGAAGCGUGAGUGACGGUAAUGGGUAAAGAAGCACCGGCUAACUACGUG